GUUUGUUGUUCUCUGAAAUUCUUCGGUCUGCAUUCAGAUUAGACAUAACUACUAUGUCAAAGGGUUCCUCAUUCUUCUGGGAAUCAUUAUCAUCUUUGCAAAUUAGUUUCUGAUCAUCUUGCUUCACUUCCAGGACAUCUUUAGGAGUGUCAGAGUUUGCUGAGGCACAAUUGGUCUGAUCAGAUUUUCCCUUUACCUGAGAAAUAAAAGCAUGAAGCAUAAAGAGGGCAGAAGC
Molecule: unclassified non-coding RNA, 235 nt
Filed under: Hevea brasiliensis (rubber tree)
Lineage: Eukaryota; Viridiplantae; Streptophyta; Magnoliopsida; Malpighiales; Euphorbiaceae
Source: RNAcentral